CUACCUUGGCCUCCCAAAGUGCUGGGAUUAUAGGGUGAGCCAUCGCGCCCGGCCCCUUUUGAUUUCUUUACAGAAUAUUGCUGUAGUAUAACUUUUUUCCAUGCACUUAAUUUUUGUUCCCUUGUUGGCAUAUUUCAUUUUCUUCCCUGAAAAUGGGUAGACUGAGAUAAGGUAUGAGGAAGCCUUGGCCAUGCCACCAGCCGCUUAUCCCAAAUUCCUGAUCCCUGGAAGACAUCUGGGCUCUCCCUCCUGUUCCAGCCCAGUAGCUUCCAGCAAAGGUACUGGCUCAAUUGGACACGGAGUGUGGAACUGCCUGCUCACACUUGUGAACCCCCGUCCAGAAGGAAGAAACAGAAAGGGCCCAGUGAGUAUAGGAAGAUGCCAGGGCCCACUGUGGAAAGCCUGGAGCCAAGUUUUUCUUAAAUGCAAAUGUCCCCAGUGUGGGGUCACGUCCAAGCUCCAGAAGGAAGCCUGGCCUGGGCGGGGGGGUGGGAGGGCUGUUGCUAGAACCUGUCAAUCCUGCUCCACACUUCCGAGUUUUCCGUGGCUUCUCCUGAAACCCGGGCCUAGGGGGUGGGGCUUGAUUCCUAUCCUAGGGGUACUGGGCGGGGUCGUGUAAAUUAUCCAAUCAGGCGCUCCGCCAGGAGGGUGGGGCCAAGCUCCGCAAGUCUAAGGGGCUCCUGUUCCCCUAACCCACUGAAUUCAGCCUUCCAGAGGCCGAGGUGGCUCCACCACAGCUUCUGUCCGGUGGUGACCAGCACUGAUCUCCGGAGCCAAGGGAGGACCCGGGACACCUGGGAGCCGGGAAAUGUUUUCCAUGGCUCCGAGACAAUGACACCGCUUCAGUGUGAACUCUCAUGAAUUGAGUCUAGAUCCCCAGUGCUGUCCGUCUCACCUGUCCUCCUCUACACAUAUCUGGGAUAUGUCACGGCUUGGUGGUCUUUGAAGAUGUGACUCUGAACUUCAUCCAGAAGGAGUAGGCUUUGCUGGAUUUUUCCGUGAAGAAUCUGUAGAGAUGUGAUGAGGGAAGCCAUCAGCACCUGGCUUCUAUAGCUGCAGCCCAAGAGGCCAACUGGAACGUUAACAUCAGACACUAAUCCAGCUGACUGAGAUUUUUUAAACUGACAGGAUCAUGGCCAUUUCACAGACAACUACCCAAAAAUAUCUACAGACGGCACUGCUCCUACCAACCCGAUACCAGAGAACUCUCUGUCCCCUCGUCAGCAGGAAGUAGCCAGAAAGAACAUGCCGCCCCUCGUCCUUUUUAUAACUAUGAGGUCUGGAUUGACAGAGCAGAAGCAUCACCAUUGUGGAUAAGCGCCUCAUUUUAAAAUUCACCUUAAUCAAAAACUGCCUAAAUCCAAAGGGCAUCAGCCUAAUGGCUAAGGUCAGCAUGAUCACAAACCACAAAUAACAUCUCCAACCAAAAACAUUCCAGACACCUCCCACAGAGAAAUGCUAGCCUCGGGAUAACCCCUCUCCUGCCGGAAAGAUGUCACCCCCAAGAUAACCACCCCUCCGCCCAGAACAUUCCAACCCUGCCACAAACUUCUCCCCCACACAGAAACAUUCCAAGCUUGUAAUAAGCUCCCUCACCCUAAAACCAACGUACAUUCUUAGUCUGCAAGGAAAAGUGCUCCUGACUGACCAGCCAGAAUCCUCUCUCAGGUCUUUUCUAUAAUAAACCUGUCUUUGACUGUCAA
Molecule: long non-coding RNA, 1703 nt
Filed under: Homo sapiens (human)
Lineage: Eukaryota; Metazoa; Chordata; Mammalia; Primates; Hominidae
Description: HSALNT0396151
Source: RNAcentral